RNAcentral lists this ribosomal RNA (402 nucleotides) under uncultured bacterium. Its description in RNAcentral is "bacterial SSU rRNA". It matches the Rfam family "Bacterial small subunit ribosomal RNA", at positions 355 to 753 of the family's 1533-position model. The record is from RNAcentral.
UAAGGAAUAUUGGUCAAUGGACGAAAGUCUGAACCAGCCAUGCCGCGUGAAGGAUGAAGGUCCUCUGGAUUGUAAACUUCUUUUAUCUGGGACGAAAAAAGGGAAUUCUUUCUCACUUGACGGUACCAGAAGAAUAAGCACCGGCUAACUCCGUGCCAGCAGCCGCGGUAAUACGGAGGGUGCAAGCGUUAUUCGGAUUCACUGGGUUUAAAGGGUGCGUAGGUGGGUCAGUUAAGUCAGUGGUGAAAUCUCCGGGCUUAACCCGGAAACUGCCAUUGAUACUAUCUGUCUUGAAUACUCUGGAGGUAAGCGGAAUAUGUCAUGUAGCGGUGAAAUGCUUAGAUAUGACAUAGAACACCGAUUGCGAAGGCAGCUUACUACGGAGUCAUUGACACUGAGGCA